UCCUACCGUGACGAGGGACGCGAUACCCUUUCCUUAUCGAAACUUCCAACCUGUUGUCGUUACAAUAUUCUUCUUUUAUUCCGCUACAAACAAUCGAUAAAGAUAAAAGGGAAAAAAAGGGAGAUAAAGAAGGAAGGAAUCCCUUUAAAAGUAAAAUAAACGCAAAAAUUAUGUACGCGCGUAAGAAGUCGUAUAUAAUACUUCUUUAACGUACCAAAACGAAUGUAACUUUAAAAACAUCAAAAAAAUCUUCGUGGCGUCGAUUUUCGCGUCGCUCGUAAAAUUUUCUCAAACGCGCCAAAGGAAGUAGAACUUGUAAAAAAUAGAGAUCAAGAGUGAAAUUGAAUGAAAAUAAGAUCGAGGAUUCGACCAAUCCCUACACAUCCCCACCACCCCGUUUGAAGGAUUUUCAUACUCGACGAUGUUGUCGGUUGUUAAACUUACGUUCGAAGUGUUUGCCUGAAUUCGAUCUAAAUCAAUUUGACCUGUUCCUCCUGUUCCUCUUCCUCUUCCUCUUCCUCAUCUUCCCCUUAGUCGUCAUAGCAGACGAUCCGAUAUAUCGAUCCCCAUCGAAUUCUACUUAACGAGACUAGGCAACUAGCUAGCUAGCUAGCUACGUCGAAUCGAAACGCGGCAGAGACUGCACAAUGGGAAAUUUAGAACGAACGCGAGCUUGGGUAAUCAAUGAGCAGUUGGAGGUGA
Molecule: long non-coding RNA, 702 nt
Filed under: Polistes fuscatus (common paper wasp)
Lineage: Eukaryota; Metazoa; Arthropoda; Insecta; Hymenoptera; Vespidae
Description: uncharacterized LOC122518531
Source: RNAcentral